This 353-nucleotide ribosomal RNA is filed under the name Escherichia coli. Its description in RNAcentral is "partial 23S ribosomal RNA". It matches the Rfam family "Bacterial large subunit ribosomal RNA", at positions 614 to 968 of the family's 2925-position model. The record is from RNAcentral. Lineage: Bacteria; Pseudomonadati; Pseudomonadota; Gammaproteobacteria; Enterobacterales; Enterobacteriaceae.
AAUGGGUCAGCGACUUAUAUUCUGUAGCAAGGUUAACCGAAUAGGGGAGCCGAAGGGAAACCGAGUCUUAACUGGGCGUUAAGUUGCAGGGUAUAGACCCGAAACCCGGUGAUCUAGCCAUGGGCAGGUUGAAGGUUGGGUAACACUAACUGGAGGACCGAACCGACUAAUGUUGAAAAAUUAGCGGAUGACUUGUGGCUGGGGGUGAAAGGCCAAUCAAACCGGGAGAUAGCUGGUUCUCCCCGAAAGCUAUUUAGGUAGCGCCUCGUGAAUUCAUCUCCGGGGGUAGAGCACUGUUUCGGCAAGGGGGUCAUCCCGACUUACCAACCCGAUGCAAACUGCGAAUACCGGAG